RNAcentral lists this ribosomal RNA (465 nucleotides) under uncultured Klebsiella sp. Its description in RNAcentral is "bacterial SSU rRNA". It matches the Rfam family "Bacterial small subunit ribosomal RNA", at positions 338 to 795 of the family's 1533-position model. The record is from RNAcentral. Lineage: Bacteria; Pseudomonadati; Pseudomonadota; Gammaproteobacteria; Enterobacterales; Enterobacteriaceae.
CCUACGGGUGGCUGCAGUGGGGAAUAUUGCACAAUGGGCGCAAGCCUGAUGCAGCCAUGCCGCGUGUGUGAAGAAGGCCUUCGGGUUGUAAAGCACUUUCAGCGGGGAGGAAGGCGGUGAGGUUAAUAACCUCAUCGAUUGACGUUACCCGCAGAAGAAGCACCGGCUAACUCCGUGCCAGCAGCCGCGGUAAUACGGAGGGUGCAAGCGUUAAUCGGAAUUACUGGGCGUAAAGCGCACGCAGGCGGUCUGUCAAGUCGGAUGUGAAAUCCCCGGGCUCAACCUGGGAACUGCAUUCGAAACUGGCAGGCUAGAGUCUUGUAGAGGGGGGUAGAAUUCCAGGUGUAGCGGUGAAAUGCGUAGAGAUCUGGAGGAAUACCGGUGGCGAAGGCGGCCCCCUGGACAAAGACUGACGCUCAGGUGCGAAAGCGUGGGGAGCAAACAGGAUUAGACACCCUUGUAGUC